UACGGGGGGAGCAAGCGUUGUUCGGAAUUACUGGGCGUAAAGGGUUUGUAGGUGGCCUGCUAAGUCAGACGUGAAAUCCCUCAGCUUAACUGGGGAACUGCGUCUGAGACUGGUCAGGCUCGAGGACAGGAGAGGACGCGGAAUUCCAGGUGUAGCGGUGAAAUGCGUAGAUAUCUGGAGGAACACCAAUGGCGAAGGCAGCACUCUGGGACGGUACUGACGCUGAGACGCGAAAGCGUGGGGAGCAAACAGG
Molecule: ribosomal RNA, 253 nt
Filed under: uncultured bacterium
Lineage: Bacteria
Description: partial 16S ribosomal RNA
Rfam family: Bacterial small subunit ribosomal RNA
Source: RNAcentral